CAGCAGCCGCGGUAAUACGAAGGGUGCAAGCGUUACUCGGAAUUACUGGGCGUAAAGCGUGCGUAGGUGGUGGUUUAAGUCCGUUGUGAAAGCCCUGGGCUCAACCUGGGAAUUGCAGUGGAUACUGGGUCACUAGAGUGUGGUAGAGGAUAGUGGAAUUUCCGGUGUAGCAGUGAAAUGCGUAGAUAUCGUGAGGAAGACCAGUGGCGAAGGCGAUUCUCUGGGCGGUUCCUGACACUGAGGCACGAAGGCCAGGGGAGCAAACGGGAUUAGAUACCCCCGUAGUCCCUGUCUCUUAUAC
This 301-nucleotide ribosomal RNA is filed under the name uncultured bacterium. RNAcentral describes it as "partial 16S ribosomal RNA". It matches the Rfam family "Bacterial small subunit ribosomal RNA", at positions 509 to 807 of the family's 1533-position model. The record is from RNAcentral.